UGGGCAACCUGCCCCUAGCACUGGGAUAACCCCGGGAAACCGGGGCUAAUACCGGAUAUGACAUGCUCUCGCAUGGGGGUGUGUGGAAAGUUUUUCGGUCUGGGAUGGGCUCGCGGCCUAUCAGCUUGUUGGUGGGGUGAUGGCCUACCGAGGCGACGACGGGUAGCCGGCCUGAGAGGGCGACCGGCCACACUGGGACUGAGACACGGCCCAGACCUCCGUACGGGAGGCA
RNAcentral lists this ribosomal RNA (232 nucleotides) under uncultured bacterium. RNAcentral's name for it is "partial 16S ribosomal RNA". It matches the Rfam family "Bacterial small subunit ribosomal RNA", at positions 118 to 350 of the family's 1533-position model. The record is from RNAcentral.